GACGAACGCUGGCGGCGUGCUUAACACAUGCAAGUCGAACGGAAAGGCUCCAGCUUGCUGGAGUACUCGAGUGGCGAACGGGUGAGUAACACGUGGGUAAUCUGCCCUGCACUCUGGGAUAAGCCUGGGAAACUGGGGCUAAUACUGGAUAUGACCUUUCUCCUUAUGGGGUUUGGUGGAAAGUUUUUCGGUGUAGGAUGAGCCCGCGGCCUAUCAGCUUGUUGGUGGGGGGAUGGCCUACCAAGGCGACGACGGGUAGCCGGCCUGGGAGGGUGAUCGGCCACAUUGGGACUGAGAUACGGCCCAGACUCCUACGGGAGGCAGCAGUGGGGAAUAUUGCACAAUGGGCGGAAGCCUGAUGCAGCGACGCCGCGUGAGGGAUGACGGCCUUCGGGUUGUAAACCUCUUUCAGCAGGGACGAAGCGUAAGUGACGGUACCUGCAGAAGAAGCACCGGCUAACUAUGUG
This 467-nucleotide ribosomal RNA is filed under the name uncultured bacterium. Its description in RNAcentral is "partial 16S ribosomal RNA". It matches the Rfam family "Bacterial small subunit ribosomal RNA", at positions 28 to 507 of the family's 1533-position model. The record is from RNAcentral.